UUUCUGCUAAACAAAUUAUUCUGCAUGACUCUAAAAUAAUACAAAUGAUUCUGCAGGAUGUUAUUGAUCAUGACCUUUCUGGUUCUCAAAUGCUUCCACAUCUUAGUGGCACUCAGUUGAGCCAAAUGAUGCAAGAGGAGCCUCAGCCUAGCUUGCUCUCACAACAACGAGGGCCAUUGCCAGAUCCUGACUUCAUCAUGACCAACAGACCCAUUGCAAGGUCUGCUCCACUUACAACAGGCACCAAGCAAGGCAAAGCUGCCGCUACAAAGAAGAGAAAGGUGGCAAAGAACACUGAAGUUGCAGCAAGCAAGAAGAACACUGCAGCAAAGAACACUGGAGC
Molecule: long non-coding RNA, 343 nt
Organism: Panicum virgatum (switchgrass)
Lineage: Eukaryota; Viridiplantae; Streptophyta; Magnoliopsida; Poales; Poaceae
Exons: 2
Source: RefSeq, a predicted model, not a curated record